This 83-nucleotide transfer RNA is filed under the name Schistocephalus solidus. It matches the Rfam family "tRNA". Rfam says of the family: Transfer RNA (tRNA) molecules are approximately 80 nucleotides in length. Their secondary structure includes four short double-helical elements and three loops (D, anti-codon, and T loops). Lineage: Eukaryota; Metazoa; Platyhelminthes; Cestoda; Diphyllobothriidea; Diphyllobothriidae. The record is from Rfam by way of RNAcentral.
GGUCUCGUAGCUCAGAUGGUUAGAGUGUUUGCUGCACUCGAGCCUUGCUCUUACUGUUGUGGGUUCGAAUCUCAUCGAGACAG